AUAAAUAGGAUAAAACUGAAAAAAUCAUUCAUUAAUUAUUUUUUUAUAUUUUCAAAAUCAAAUAUGUUUGCGGAAGGAGAGAGUACUAAACAAGCUCUCAACCAUAUUAGCAAAUUAACAGUACUUUGGGUUAGGCCCAACCCAAGAAAAAACCAGAACUUGAGGGAUGUAGAUAGUUUUGUCCUCAGAUCCACAGACACAGACACCAACGACAGAGAUGGGCUGACCUUGGAAUAUGACACAGCCUCACCAAUAAAGAAUGCCAUUCGUCCAAGCUUCAAACAAAUAGUCCACAAUGAAUAUUAUUUCCAAGUUAAACAUUAAAAUAAUUACGAUACCUUUUGACUUUCAAGCAGUAUGACAGGCAAAUUGCUUAAUCUUUUGCCCCCUGUUUGUGACUCUGGCUUUCCAGUCAACUGCCAUGUUAUACAGUUCAACUCUGUAAAUGAAAUUCAAAAAGCAAAAGUUCAUUACCAACUUGAUGCGGAUAGAAAUUGUAAAAUAAGUACAGAAACUUACCUUCUUUACAAAGCCUUCCAGAUGGGAGCGUGAACCAAAAUAAGUUCCAUGGAGAGACUUAAGUAGCUUAUCAACUGUAUAAUCACAUCCUCCUUUGACCAAGACUGUUUAAAACAGCUAACAUCCGAAUGUCAAUCUUAGUAGGAAUUUUUGCAAGAUUGGUAGAUGAGUCAAAUCCAGAUUCGACCCGGCAGCAGUUUUCCUGUUUUUCCUAAUG
RNAcentral lists this long non-coding RNA (736 nucleotides) under Jatropha curcas. Its description in RNAcentral is "long non-coding RNA (JCUR_LNC002440)". Lineage: Eukaryota; Viridiplantae; Streptophyta; Magnoliopsida; Malpighiales; Euphorbiaceae. The record is from RNAcentral.